AUGGACGGCUUCCCUCUCGACCAUGAGUUUUCGGAGGACUACGAGCUAGAGGAAGAGGACGAGUGCGACAUCAGAGGAGGGCCUCUGUUCGAGGACGAGCUCGCCAACCAAGCCGCCGUGUCGAAGCCGAAGCGCAAGAGCAAGCGGACCAAGGCAUACACGGCGGCCGAGGACAAGCUUCUUUGCGAAUGUUGGAGAGACAUUGGGCAAGACCCCAAGAUGGGCGCCGAACAAUAGCAUUCAACUUUUUGGAUUCGUGUCUACCAUGAGUUCCAUGAGCGCAAGAAGUUUCUGCCAUACCAAAUAGUCAGUGCGCGCGGGUGGGUGUCCAUUUCGUAG
Molecule: ribosomal RNA, 339 nt
Filed under: Triticum aestivum (bread wheat)
Lineage: Eukaryota; Viridiplantae; Streptophyta; Magnoliopsida; Poales; Poaceae
Description: partial small subunit ribosomal RNA
Source: RNAcentral